RNAcentral lists this ribosomal RNA (274 nucleotides) under Virgibacillus phasianinus. Its description in RNAcentral is "partial 16S ribosomal RNA". It matches the Rfam family "Bacterial small subunit ribosomal RNA", at positions 720 to 993 of the family's 1533-position model. Lineage: Bacteria; Bacillati; Bacillota; Bacilli; Caryophanales; Bacillaceae. The record is from RNAcentral.
AGCGACUCUCUGGUCUGUACUGACGCUGAGGAGCGAAAGCGUGGGGAGCGAACAGGAUUAGAUACCCUGGUAGUCCACGCCGUAAACGAUGAGUGCUAGGUGUUAGGGGGUUUCAGCCCCUUAGUGCCGAAGUUAACACAUUAAGCACUCCGCCUGGGGAGUACGGCCGCAGGGCUGAAACUCAAAAGAAUUGACGGGGGCCCGCACAAGCGGUGGAGCAUGUGGUUUAAUUCGACGCAACGCGAAGAACCUUACCAGGUCUUGACAUCCUCUG